GGCUGGUAGCUCAGUUGGUUAGAGCAUUGUUCUGAUACACCAAGGUUGCGGGUUCGAUCUCCGGUCAGGGCCU
This is a non-coding RNA of Myotis brandtii (Brandt's bat), 73 nucleotides long. Lineage: Eukaryota; Metazoa; Chordata; Mammalia; Chiroptera; Vespertilionidae. The record is from Rfam.